RNAcentral lists this ribosomal RNA (212 nucleotides) under uncultured bacterium. RNAcentral's name for it is "partial 16S ribosomal RNA". It matches the Rfam family "Bacterial small subunit ribosomal RNA", at positions 1288 to 1500 of the family's 1533-position model. The record is from RNAcentral.
ACGUUCGGAUUGCAGUCUGAAACUCGAGUGCAUGAAGCUGGAAUCGCUAGUAAUCGCAAAUCAGAAUGUUGCGGUGAAUACGUUCCCGGGUCUUGUACACACCGCCCGUCACACCAUGGGAGUUGGAAAUGCCCGAAGUCAGUGACCCAACCUAAGGGAGGGAGCUGCCGAAGGCAGGUUCGAUGACUGGGGUGAAGUCGUAACAAGGUAGC